GCAAAGCAAAGAAAAAGUGAAAUCCUUGAUAGAAGAACAGUCGGUUCAAGAAGUGCAGAGCCAAUCGAGUGAAAGUGAAGAAUCGGCUGAUGAAGCUGAGAUAUAAUCACUUUCUUCAAGGAGAAAUUCUUGAUAGAAAAACAUUCGGUUCAAGAAGAGCCGAACCAAUCGAAAAGAAUCGCUGAUGAAGCUGAGAUAUAUGUGGCUGGGAUGAUAAAGCGCCGUUUUCUUUAAGCCGGCCAAGAUCAGCGAAACAAAAGCUUGAGUCUCGGCUG
RNAcentral lists this long non-coding RNA (275 nucleotides) under Ananas comosus (pineapple). Its description in RNAcentral is "long non-coding RNA (ACOM_LNC032743)". The record is from RNAcentral. Lineage: Eukaryota; Viridiplantae; Streptophyta; Magnoliopsida; Poales; Bromeliaceae.